Molecule: ribosomal RNA, 774 nt
Filed under: uncultured Neocallimastigales
Lineage: Eukaryota; Fungi; Neocallimastigomycota; Neocallimastigomycetes; Neocallimastigales
Description: partial large subunit ribosomal RNA
Rfam family: Eukaryotic large subunit ribosomal RNA
Source: RNAcentral
GUGUCUCGCACAGAUGCAUAUCAAUAAGCGGAGGAAAAGAAACUAACAAGGAUUCCCUUAGUAACGGCGAGUGAAGCGGGAAGAGCUCAAAUUUGAAAUCUUCAAGGUUUUACCUUGACGAAUUGUAGUUUAAAGAAGUGUUUUCUGUUGAAGUUUUGGUAAAAGUUCUUUGGAAUAGGACAUCACUAGAGGGUGAGAAUCCCGUAUUUGACCAUUAUUUUCAGCUGUGUGAUACACUUUCAAAGAGUCGGAUUGUUUGGGAAUGCAGUCCAAAAUGGGUGGUAAAUUUCAUCUAAAGCUAAAUAUUGGCGAGAGACCGAUAGCGAACAAGUACCGUGAGGGAAAGAUGAAAAGAACUUUGAAAAGAGAGUUAAACAGUACGUGAAAUUGUCAAAAGGGAAGCGUUUGACACCAGUGUUGUUUUCCUCGAAAAUCAAUUAAAAAGAGUUAGAUUUUGUUGUGUAUUGACCUUAACAGCUUGCAUUUCAAUUUUCUUGCUUUUUUAAUGCACUUUUCGUUUAACAAGUCAACAUCAGUUUCUUUUGUUGUAAAAAGGUCAUUGGAAGGUGGCUUUCUUUUCGGAGAAAGUGUUUAUAGCCUUUGACUCCUGCAAUCGGAGAGACUGAGGUCUGCAGCGUAGAUCCUUCGGGGUUAGAUACAUUUGUGCUAAGUUAUAGCUUUUUAUAGACAACUUGUUGACUAUGAUUAGUCUUGUAGCUUACUCGCUUAUGCUAUUUUACCUACGCUUAGGAUGUUGAAGAUGUAGCACAUCAU